This is a non-coding RNA of Chelonoidis abingdonii (Abingdon island giant tortoise), 171 nucleotides long. The record is from RefSeq and is a predicted model, not a curated record. Lineage: Eukaryota; Metazoa; Chordata; Testudines; Testudinidae.
UGUGAGAGUGAGAGAGAUUGGAAAAUGGGUGGGGGACAGUCUAAGCAUUCCAUCUCAUCCCCUAAGGGUACCCCAGCAUAUUACAUGUACGUACAUUAUGGUCCUAAAACCUGCAGGUAUUUAGACAAUUGGAAUCUUUACACGCAUGAAAAUCCAUCUAAACAAUGCCCA